GGGUAAGUCUUGUACGACCAGCUCCCGUGAACCUCCCCAGGGCCGGAAGGCAGCAAGGAUAAAUGGUUGUAGCGGUGCGAUGCAAGGGGCUUACCCGUU
Molecule: signal recognition particle RNA, 99 nt
Filed under: Bacteroidia bacterium
Lineage: Bacteria; Pseudomonadati; Bacteroidota; Bacteroidia
Description: signal recognition particle sRNA small type
Rfam family: Bacteroidales small SRP
About the family: The non-coding component of the signal recognition particle in Bacteroides
Source: RNAcentral